This 502-nucleotide ribosomal RNA is filed under the name uncultured bacterium. Its description in RNAcentral is "bacterial SSU rRNA". It matches the Rfam family "Bacterial small subunit ribosomal RNA", at positions 29 to 525 of the family's 1533-position model. The record is from RNAcentral.
AUUGAACGCUGGCGGCAUGCCUUACACAUGCAAGUCGAACGGUAACAGGCCGCAAGGUGCUGACGAGUGGCGAACGGGUGAGUAAUGCAUCGGAACGUGCCCAGUCGUGGGGGGAUAACGCAGCGAAAGCUGUGCUAAUACCGCAUACGAUCUAUGGAUGAAAGCGGGGGACCGUAAGGCCUCGCGCGAUUGGAGCGGCCGAUGUCAGAUUAGGUAGUUGGUGGGGUAAAGGCCCACCAAGCCAACGAUCUGUAGCUGGUCUGAGAGGACGACCAGCCACACUGGGACUGAGACACGGCCCAGACUCCUACGGGAGGCAGCAGUGGGGAAUUUUGGACAAUGGGCGCAAGCCUGAUCCAGCAAUGCCGCGUGCAGGAAGAAGGCCUUCGGGUUGUAAACUGCUUUUGUACGGAACGAAACGGUCUGGGUUAAUACCCUGGGCUAAUGACGGUACCGUAAGAAUAAGCACCGGCUAACUACGUGCCAGCAGCCGACGGUAAAG